GAUUUUGCCUCUAGUGUUUGGCUCAUUGUGUCGCAGAAUAUUUUUUUCCAGGAUAGCUUGACUCAUAAAACUGUCUCCAGACUGGAUAAGCUAUUUAUUUCAGAAUAACUUGGGAGUAACACCAAUGCCAGCAAACUGAUUGCAUGAGAUAAGAGGCAAGGUUCUUCCUUCACAUCCCUAUGCACCAGGGCCACCUAUGGGUCUUUGAGAGAAGUGAGUAACUUAGCAGAUCUGGCCUCAGAUUUCUAAUGCUUGUUAUGAUCUUGUCCCAUCCAUCUGAAUAUUUUUCCUUCUGAAGAUGAAACGGUCUCACUGGAGAGAGCAGAACUUUGGUCCAUCAUCCCUGAGAGAAAAUGAGGAUGAAGCAUUAGUCAUUUUGCUGUGAGCUGCUCCAGGCUCCUGGACUGCAGAUAACAUUUGUGUGCUAAUGAAUACAGUUCCAAGCAAGCUUUUUAAGAAGACAGAGGGACAGACAGAUAUUAGUAUAUACCCAAAGCUCUCCAACGAGCAUCAGUUUGUUCCUCUCACAGCUGACCAUCCUCUUGUCACUGCUGGCUGUUGUCCUUACUGGACAGAUGUUCUGCAGUGUUGAUAACAUGAAUAACAGUCCCAGUGACAAGCACAAGUUGCAGGUUGUUUCAGUUCAUCCUCAUGGGCCUAUGUAGAACUAGAGCUAUCCCACGUGUCUGUUCCCUUUCUGAUACCUGAGCUGGGUGUCCUGGAGCCAGUUUGGGUGUCUAAAAAGGAUGUGGUGGUGUCUAAAUUUGUGUUCUUCUUCCUUCCCCACAGAAAAGAGUUCUUCUAAAAGCUCCCCAGAGGACACUAGUGUUGUUUGUGCAGUUUAAUAAUGUAAGUCUGAGCUGGAAGGCAGAAAGCCAAUUGUCAGGGUGUCUGCAAGGAGAGAAGCUUAAAGAAUGGUCAGUGAACUUAAUGAAGUUAUUCAGAGGAAACUGAGAGCCUGGAACCAGCAGAGCAGGGCAGCAUUGAUAGGCUUUCUUCUGCAGCAUGGCUCAGGAAUACGGUGUGGGACAGGCAAACAAGGACAAAAUUCAGAUUCAAUUUCUUCAGCCCGGCUAAGAAGGGGAAAACCAAACCUUUCUAACAGCUCUGCAGAUGAAGAGAAAGGAGAGGAACCCAGACAGUAACUGCGUAGCUGAAACCAAACCUGAACUUUCUUUGAAACUCAACUACUUGCAGACUAUUGUGCCCAGCAUCACUGCAGUGUUUUAUUGCUGAUCAUCUUUAAUGCCUUUAGAGAUAUCCCAUGGGAAACCGGUAUCU
Molecule: long non-coding RNA, 1281 nt
Filed under: Phasianus colchicus (ring-necked pheasant)
Lineage: Eukaryota; Metazoa; Chordata; Aves; Galliformes; Phasianidae
Description: lncRNA (ENSPCLG00000007528.1)
Source: RNAcentral